UCCGACAACCAACGUCAUCUCGUGAAAUCAACACCACUGCCGGAUUCCAACCUCCUUCGACGAACAUAGGACUUUUUUCCCGUCAGCCAUCGUCUCCUCCUUUCCCCACCGAGUUCUCUUUUUCUCGACAUGGAGAAGAUGGAGCUUGCCUUUCGAUGACAAAAUCAAACUCAGAUUCUGACUACUUUGAUGGCUACCUCCGGCGAAAGCAACUGCAAACCUUCACCUUUUCUUGGUUGCUCUCCGUUCUGGUGAAACAAGAGACUUCUCUUCGUCUCUCAUCCAGGCCUCUCGUCCGUGACACAUCACAACAUCACAAUCAUCUUCACCAUCAAUUAACUCCGGCUGCGUUUAACUCCGCCGAAUCGGACCGCCACCAUCACCGCACAACUCAUGGUACUCUCCAAUCUCUCAUUUUCUCGUUGUUGUGAUGAUUAGAGAGUAUCUCUUCUGAAAUUUUGAGACACUUCAAAUUCAAUUUCAGUCUCCAUUGGUGAGCUCCACCUCUUUUCCCGCGAAUCCGACCAUUGAUUCCUCUGCAAAUCUCAGGUUUCUUCCGACGAGCUCCAUCUUCCACUGUCACUUCCAGAAAUCCAAAGGUGAGCAAUUUUAUCCCCCCAAUUUCUAUUGCCUUUAGGCUGUAGCUGCUCCAUCUCAAUUUCUGGAUUUUGCCCGAGAACCCUAAUUCCCUCCUUUUUUUUUGUUUCUUGAUCCACCAAGUUUUCUCGCUGAAACUUUCAUGGAACCUAUCACUUUCUAACACGGCUCCAAAAUAUUCCGAGGUAGCUUCUUCACAGUCCUGCAAGAUCAAGUCACAAACACUAGGACUGUUUCUCCAAUGAACAACGAAGCCUUCAUCUGUUAAGAUGAGCUCCGCAGCUCCUUUGAUGAACUGGUGUUCUUUUUCUCCUUGAUGACUUCAGAAACUCCACAUGGAAUCAGAAUCUGCAGCUCCACCUGGAAUAUAAGUCUCCUCACCGUAUUUCCAGGCGCCUACAGAGCGUACAAUAUCGAUAGUGGAGUUACCUGGAGCUGUGUCGUCCUCCUUACGAUGUUGAGGAGAUCGUAGCAAGCAUGAAAGUCCUCUCCAUCUAUUGCUUGAGUCAUAACAUCUGUUGGUUCAAUUGUUUUUAGUAUCUUGUUUAGGACAACAUCUCCUUUGGAUACCAAAUCUGUGAUGAUCUGAAAUCUUGUGUCCAUAAGUUCGGUUCCCGAUUCCUUCCCUUCUGUAGUUAAGCUCAUUAAUCUGAAAUGAGAUGUAGUUGGUACCAACUACUGUAGCUUCAUUCAUUUUGAAAGUUUUAGCUUCCUUUUCCUGACUUUCUUGUAACAGAGCUAGAACUCCCUUAGCUUUAUCUC
Molecule: non-coding RNA, 1359 nt
Organism: Arabidopsis thaliana (thale cress)
Lineage: Eukaryota; Viridiplantae; Streptophyta; Magnoliopsida; Brassicales; Brassicaceae
Source: RefSeq